RNAcentral lists this long non-coding RNA (2938 nucleotides) under Citrus sinensis (sweet orange). RNAcentral's name for it is "long non-coding RNA (CSIN_LNC000176)". The record is from RNAcentral. Lineage: Eukaryota; Viridiplantae; Streptophyta; Magnoliopsida; Sapindales; Rutaceae.
GAAAUAAUUCAAAUUUAUUUUAAAUAAUAAAUUAUACACUUUUAUAUCAUGGAAUGAGUGUUUGUAAUUAAAAUUAUUUAAAUAUGAGUUCAAGAUUAAUUAUUAUACAUAGAGAAAAUGUUAAUAAAUUAAUAAUUUUUUUCUUAUGAAUUAAAUAUAAAUAUUAAUAUUAAUAAUACCAGUAUUCACGCCAUUGUUAAAUAAAAAAAAAAAGAAACUAAUCAUUUUAAUAUUAAUUUGAAUUAGUAAUAUAAUAUUUGUAUGAACAUAAGAAUUUUUUUCAAACUAAAUUUUUAGUUUAUUUUUCUAUGUGCUAAUACAAUGAAUAUAUGAAUUGGUAUCAUGGUGGAAGAAUAUUGAUUUCAUGAGGUAUCUCAUCUAUUUUGAAAAAACUAUAUUCAGAUUUGUUUCAGAGAAUAAAUAAUACAUAAAAACAAACUCAAUUUUGUCACCACUCAUCCGUCAAUUUUAGUAUGUUUUAAGGCCUAUUUGGUAUUGAAGUUAAGUAGCUGUAGUUUUUAAGUUACGAUACUAAAAUAUUUGGUAAACAUUAACUGUUGUUGUUUGGAACCGAAAUUGAUUUGAUCCUCGACUAUAUGCAAAUAUAUAUAUCUUAAUAAUAUAUGUUGUGUAGACUUUCGAGAAUUUAUUAUAGAAAAUGUUACUAAAAGAUCAAAUGUUUGAUUAUCUUAUAAACAACAUGUGUCAUUAUCUUAUACAAAAUUUAAGAAAGAUUAGAAUAUGAGAGGAUCCAAAUCCCUUUAUCUAUUAUAAUUCUCUGCUUAGUCAAAGUUACUGUCAACAUUUAUUAUAAGGUUUCCAAUUAAAAUGCUUAAACAAAAUUAAUUUUCAAGCAAAUAAACACCUGCUAUUCCAAGGAUGAGCGCACAAUGAUCCAGGUAAAAUACUCGGAGCCAUAACUAAAAAAAUGACAUAAAUAUAAAUCAUACAUACCUUGGAGUCUGUUUUGGUCAAGAUAUAAAUACUUAAAGUCGAUGGGAUUUUGCCGUCAAAGUCGUUUACUUCUAAGAUGAGGAUUUCCAGAAAAGGAAGGUUGUUGCAAAUAUUUGGCGGGAGUUCACCUGGCACCAAAUAAUAUAUUAUAUUCAAAAUGAAUAUUAUCUAGUAAAGAAAACUUGCAUAAGAUGAACGAAGAUAUUGGACCGGAAAGCUGGUUGUAGCUAAGAUAAAGUGUUUGAAGUGAAGAUGGAUUCCUAGUUGAGAAGGAAUGAUGCAUGUUAAGAAAUCAUUUGUUAGCGAUGGCAUCACAAAUUAUAUUAUAUAAAGAUAAGCAGUGAUUUCAUGCCAAAUAUUUUAUGUUGACGUCACUAAUGCAUAUAAUUAGCAAAGACUACCUGUCAAUUUAUUAACUGACAAAUCCAAAUUCGAUAGAGAAGAAAGAUUGAAGAUUGAUGAAGGAAUAGCUCCAGUUAAGAAAUUUUUUGUAGCCAUAACGUCUCUAAUUCUGCAAGAUUCCCCAGCUCCUCUGGGAUUUCUCCUAAAAAUCAUGAGUAACAUAUGCGUUAACUAUUUUAACUUAUUAACCAGCGUUCAAUAAGAAAAAAAGGAAAUUAAAAAAAAAAGUUUUUGCCCUAAGAGAGAUAAAAAAAUUUAUGAAAAAAAUAAAUAAAAUUAUGUAAAAUGAAAGAUAAGCCAUACCAAAUAUGCUCUAAGGCUAGGAUUUUUCAAAAUCAAAACAUUUUUUUUUAUGCCUAAAUAAACUUAUAAACUUAACUACCAUAUCAUAAGCUGUUGCUUGUUUCUGACUUCUUCUUCUCUACUACUCAUUAUAUCACUAACUUUAAAACUUUUGCAUAAACAUGAGCAAAGAAGAAACAUUGCCAAUUAAUUCUUAAUUCUUUUACGAAUUUAUGCCAUGGAAUUAGAUUAAAAUGGGAUGCAUUAUUGUCAUUGGUAUUCUGCAAUAACAAUUGACAGAUGAGGUAGACAAUAUCAAUUGAACACAAUUUCUAUUUGCAAUCGUCUGAAAUUAAUUUAACUUUAGACACAUAUAAAUAUUGUUCCAUUUUUCUAAUUCUCCAUUUGAUUUUGGACCCUAGAAAGACAAUUAAAAAAAAAAAGGAAGAAAAGAAAAACAUCUAAUCUGCGAGGUAGAUAAUCAAAAUUUGUUGAGUGAUACAAAAUAAAAGAAAAUGCAAUAUAAAAAAAGAAACUAACAAAGUGAAAGAAAUAGAAGGUUUACGCGUGUUAGACGUUCAUUAAUCUUAGAGAGCUAGUCUUAGAUUUUUAAUUAGGCAAUGAAACGAUGUGUUUUAAUUUUAAUAAGGAAAGUUUAAAUAAGAGUGAUGAUAGAGCCACAAACUCUUGUACAAAAUUAUAUUGUACAAACUGAUGUAGCAUUAAUUCAUUGGUUGAAUGAAAAUACAAAAUAACAAAAAUAAAUCAUGUGGGCCAAUAGAUAUUUAAUUCAACCAAUUGUAUUAUGCCACAUCAAUUUGUACAAGAUAAGUUUGUACAAAAGUUUGUGGUUGUAUCAUUACUCUUAAAGAAGGAAUUAGCCUUAGAAAGGUAUAAAUGAUUGUGUCGUGAUCUUAUACAAAAUUUAAGAAAGAUUAGAAUAGUCGAAGAUCCAAAUCUCUUUAUCUAUUAUAUUUAUUCGUUUAAAUACUAACAAGGAGAUUAAAGUUACUGUCAACAUUUAUUAUAAGGUUUCCAAUUGAAAUGCUUAAACACAAUUGAUUUUCGAGCAAAUAAACAUUUUUUAAUUUUUCUAUCAACCUUUCUGAAAUUCUAAGAACGAGCGCACAAUGGUCCAGGUAAAAUACCCAGGAGUGAUAACUAAAAAAUGACAUAAAUAUAAAUCAUACAUACCUUGGAGUCUGUUUUGGUCAGAUAUAAAUACUUAAGCUUGGUCAAAUUGCCGAUUUCUUUUGGUAUGUCUCCUGAGAAGUCAUUCAUCAACAAAGAUAAUGUUUGU